AAGGAUUUAAGUUAACAAAACUAAUAACCUUCAAAGUUGUAAAUAAAGAUUACCUUUAAGCCUUA
Molecule: transfer RNA, 65 nt
Filed under: Pristolycus sp. FM14
Lineage: Eukaryota; Metazoa; Arthropoda; Insecta; Coleoptera; Lampyridae
Description: tRNA-Trp
Source: RNAcentral